UUAAAUGGCCGCGGUAUUUUGACCGUGCUAAGGUAGCAUAAUCAUUAGUUUUUUAAUUGGAAGCUAGAAUGAAGGGUUGGAUGAAAAAAAAACUGUCUUAAAUUAAAUUGUUUAGAAUUUUAUUUUUAAGUUAAAAAGCUUAAAUAUUAUUAAAAGACGAGAAGACCCUUUAGAGUUUUAUAAAUUUUUAGAGUUUCAUAUUUGGAAUUUAAUUUAAACUUUUGUUAAUUUAUUUAGUUGGGGUGAUUAAAAAAUUAAUUUAACUUUUUUUAUAUCUUUUUAUAAAUUUAUAUAUAUUUGAUCCAAAAUUUUUGAUUAUAAGAUAAAAUUACCUUAGGGAUAACAGCGUAAUUUUAUUAGAGAGUU
RNAcentral lists this ribosomal RNA (366 nucleotides) under Cassena terminalis. Its description in RNAcentral is "partial 16S ribosomal RNA". Lineage: Eukaryota; Metazoa; Arthropoda; Insecta; Coleoptera; Chrysomelidae. The record is from RNAcentral.